GAUGAACGCUGGCGGCGUGCCUAAUACAUGCAAGUCGAGCGAACGGACGAGAAGCUUGCUUCUCUGAUGUUAGCGGCGGACGGGUGAGUAACACGUGGAUAACCUACCUAUAAGACUGGGAUAACUUCGGGAAACCGUAGCUAAUACCGGAUAAUAUUUUGAACCGCAUGGUUCAAAAGUGAAAGACGGUCUUGCUGUCACUUAUAGAUGGAUCCGCGCUGCAUUAGCUAGUUGGUAAGGUAACGGCUUACCAAGGCAACGAUGCAUAGCCGACCUGAGAGGGUGAUCGGCCACACUGGAACUGGGACACGGUCCAGACUCCUACGGGAGGCAGCAGUAGGGAAUCUUCCACAAUGGGCGAAAGCCUGACGGAGCAACGCCGCGUGAGUGAUGAAGGUCUUCGGAUCGUAAAACUCUGUUAUUAGGGAAGAACAUAUGUGUAAGUAACUGUGCACAUCUUGACGGUACCUAAUCAGAAAGCCACGGCUAACUACGUG
RNAcentral lists this ribosomal RNA (497 nucleotides) under uncultured bacterium. RNAcentral describes it as "partial 16S ribosomal RNA". It matches the Rfam family "Bacterial small subunit ribosomal RNA", at positions 28 to 507 of the family's 1533-position model. The record is from RNAcentral.